UUAUAUAUUGAACUUUAAAAAUGCAGAUGAAAAUAGGGGCAGAAUUUUUUCCUCAGAAAAGUUUGCAUCACCGAUCCACAGAUUUAGAGCAGGGGAAUUCUUUCAGAAUUGACAUUAACUGAUGGUCUCCCUCUAUAUAAUGGAGCUCUGGCAGUUUACCUCAUACUCAGACUCUCUUUCUCGAAUGGUUCAUCAAUCAUACCUGAAGAAUGAAGAUCAUCAUGAAGACCGCUUUACUGUUUGCAGUGCUGUGCUGCGCUCUUCUGCCUCAAUCCUCAGAUGGUGAGUUAGAUUAAUUUCUCCUCUCUUGUAUGAGACGGAAACAACUUUCAGUUCCAGAUUCUCCAUUAGAAGGACAGACACGUUAGGCAAAAACAGUUUUUUGUGUAGCCUAUCUUUUAAUUUUGAGAUUUUGGGAAUUUGUGGGAUUCUUCAUUGUGUUUUUUUUUUUUUUGUCUAAUAGAAAGAAGACAUGCGAAAUACACUUUAAAGUAUAUUAUCACAUUUUUUUAUGUCUAUAUUUUUUAAAUUACAAUUUACUGUACAUGUUUAAUUGUUUUAUUAAAAAUUAAGAGCUUAGAGAUUGCUUCUUUACAGAUUCAUGUUAUUUCACAUACAUACAGUAUACUCUAUAUAUAGCAUCAACACAGAGCCACUGGCGUAAAGCAUUUCAUGCCUCAUUUGCAUGUUCAAACAUGACUACAUCAACUUGUAAUACAAAAAAAAAAAAUUUCAGUUCUUAUUUUAAUCAAUCAACUGGGUUAAUAAGGGUGGUAAUGUUAUACUAGAAAUGUUUUUAGUCUUCUCUUUCUGAAAAUAUCUAACCAUAGCCUAUUUUUAAAAUCCUUGAUAAUUAAAAACGUGUUCAAUUUUACUAGCGAGCAUUUUACUUUUCCAGGUCAGCCAUAUUCUGGUGAUGCUUCGACCAGUAUCUGCUGCUUUGGUAAAGGCAGUAACAGCAAAAUUCCUCCGAAUCGCCUAAAGUCUUAUUACUGGACAAGCAGCAUCUGCCCCUUCAACCACAUUGUGUUUGUAACAGCAAAGAGACAUAUCUGUAUGAAUCCAGAAAAUAAGUGGGUGCAGAAGACAAUGAAAGCCAUAGACAAGAAACCAGGUUCAAACUCACCAGUAUGAAACUCGGAAGAUGUUUACUGCCCCUGCUCAGAUACAUUCCCCAUACAUAUGAACAUUUGUAAAAUAAAGUUGCAGAAUAUUUGUUGUUAUUGUAAUAUAUACAAUAUUUUUUUGUGAUAAAUUGUCUAAAAUGUGUUGUCUCUUUUGUGAAAUAUCAGAAUACUCUUAUAACUUGCUUUAUACAUAUAUAUUUGU
Molecule: non-coding RNA, 1329 nt
Organism: Danio rerio (zebrafish)
Lineage: Eukaryota; Metazoa; Chordata; Actinopteri; Cypriniformes; Danionidae
Source: RefSeq, a predicted model, not a curated record